AUGGCCUUCGCCCGCCCUGCCCCUCUCUUGCUUCAGAAGCCCCCAGAAACUCCGCGGUCGGCGACCCAGCCCGAGCCGCCUGAGGUCCCAAGGGAAGCUGAACGCCUGGUGGGCUCCCGGGAUGGUUCUUCCCGUUCUUUGUGCCGCCUUCACCCAGUGAAGGAGCCUGUAUCCACCCUGCCCAGUCGCUUUGGGGCUGCUGCGGAGCUUCCGCUGCCAUCUUCGGAUCCUGUGUUCCCCACGGCGGCUCCACCAGGGCAGGGAUGGUGAAUGGGGAAAUGGAGAGAGAACCUGAAAGAGCCCCAAACUCGAGGACCUAUUGCUCCCCAAGAAUAACAUCUUCCAGAACUAGACAGAAACUAAGCGUCUGGAAACCCUGAAAUCCUUGGAGGAGUAGCAUCAUCCUGACCCUCUGUGUUCCUUUUGGCAAAGGACUUGCUUCCAUUGUUUGUUUGUUCAAUUGUCUGUUUGUUAAAUAAAUAAAACUCUUUUCAUAUAUCUUUAAAAGUACGUUGGUUCUAUUAUUUUAUGAUUACAAACAAUGCUGCAGUCAUCAUUCUUCUACACUUGUCAUUGGCCACUGGUAUAUUUCCAUAGGGUGGAGGCCUGGAGAGCAGUUGUUCCAGCAUAGUGCUUACAUAGCUUUUAUUUCAUUCCGUUUUCUUUCCUUUGUUGCUUUAUUAGCUAUAACCCUUUUCUUAUUUCAGUGGCUGCUUUAGGGUUUCUGGGAUAUGUCUUUAAUUUAUCACAGUCUGCUUUCAAGUGUCAUUAUGUCUCCCUUUCUGGCCUUUAUCCUAGUGUUAUGUAAUUUUACUUUAUGCAUUAUAAUCCUUGUGAUUCAUUAUUAUUACUUUUAUUUAUUACACCAAAUAUUUUUUAAAAGAUUUAAAUUCUAAGAAAAUGUGUAGUACAUGCU
This 916-nucleotide long non-coding RNA is filed under the name Pan troglodytes (chimpanzee). Its description in RNAcentral is "lncRNA (ENSPTRG00000054044.1)". Lineage: Eukaryota; Metazoa; Chordata; Mammalia; Primates; Hominidae. The record is from RNAcentral.